AGUCUCGAGCUGACCAGCGGAGGGAUCAUUACCGAGUUUACAACUCCCAAACCCAAUGUGAACGUUACCAAACUGUUGCCUCGGCGGGAUCUCUGCCCCGGGUGCGUCGCAGCCCCGGACCAAGGCGCCCGCCGGAGGACCAACCAAAACUCUUUUUGUAUACCCCCUCGCGGGUUUUUUAUAAUCUGAGCCUUCUCGGCGCCUCUCGUAGGCGUUUCGAAAAUGAAUCAAAACUUUCAACAACGGAUCUCUUGGUUCUGGCAUCGAUGAAGAACGCAGCGAAAUGCGAUAAGUAAUGUGAAUUGCAGAAUUCAGUGAAUCAUCGAAUCUUUGAACGCACAUUGCGCCCGCCAGUAUUCUGGCGGGCAUGCCUGUCCGAGCGUCAUUUCAACCCUCGAACCCCUCCGGGGGGUCGGCGUUGGGGAUCGGCCCUCCCUUAGCGGGUGGCCGUCUCCGAAAUACAGUGGCGGUCUCGCCGCAGCCUCUCCUGCGCAGUAGUUUGCACACUCGCAUCGGGAGCGCGGCGCGUCCACAGCCGUUAAACACCCAACUUCUGAAAAUGGUUGGACCUCGGAUCAGGUAGGAAUACCCGCUGAACUUAAGCAUAUCAAUAAGGCGAGAGGA
This 624-nucleotide ribosomal RNA is filed under the name Trichoderma sp. NFX 20. Its description in RNAcentral is "eukaryotic LSU rRNA". The stretch from base 232 to 385 matches the Rfam family "5.8S ribosomal RNA". Lineage: Eukaryota; Fungi; Ascomycota; Sordariomycetes; Hypocreales; Hypocreaceae. The record is from RNAcentral.